Molecule: unclassified non-coding RNA, 245 nt
Filed under: Hevea brasiliensis (rubber tree)
Lineage: Eukaryota; Viridiplantae; Streptophyta; Magnoliopsida; Malpighiales; Euphorbiaceae
Source: RNAcentral
GAACCAUGUUCUCCCCCAAAUGCUGAGCAACCUCGAGCACCAAACGGAUCGAGUGGUCAAGAACCUCAAGAGCCGUCAGGAUAGGCGGCAAUCCUUCGUCGAAUCUCACAUCGACAACAGGACCGAUCACCUGACACACCUGUCCGACCGCACCGGCACCAGUAAACUCAUCAGUGAUCUUCCCUCCUUUACCAGCAUCCUUGGCCGGAGGAUGUGGUGACGGAGGCGCAGCCGCCGCAGCAGAA